This 301-nucleotide long non-coding RNA is filed under the name Mytilus galloprovincialis (Mediterranean mussel). The record is from RNAcentral. Lineage: Eukaryota; Metazoa; Mollusca; Bivalvia; Mytilida; Mytilidae.
CAGGAAAAUUUUGUUGACAAUUUUUUUUUUCAUAUGACAAAAUAUUGAGGCAGCAGAUUUUUUAAGUCAAAAUCAGGGUCAGAAUAUUGUUUUCUAAAAACUACCAGGCCCCUUCCUCCAUGAAAAUUAAAUGGUCCGUGGCAAAAAUAAAAAAUUCCCACAUGUUCAACUUCAAAAUUUGAUCAGAUUCUAUUCUUAACUGUCGGAUAAUAUACUAGGAUAACACAAAAAAUGUCCUGUAUGGGACGAUUCUGUACUCAUACUUCACGCGUAGUUGAGUACAAGUGUCCUCGUAGUGAAC